UGGGGAAUCUUAGACAAUGGGCGCAAGCCUGAUCUAGCCAUGCCGCGUGGGUGAUGAAGGCCUUAGGGUCGUAAAGCCCUUUCGCCGGGGAAGAUAAUGACGGUACCCGGUAAAGAAACCCCGGCUAACUCCGUGCCAGCAGCCGCGGUAAUACGGAGGGGGUUAGCGUUGUUCGGAAUGACUGGGCGUAAAGCGCGCGUAGGCGGGCUGGAAAGUUGGGGGUGAAAUCCCGGGGCUCAACCCCGGAAUGGCCUUCAAAACUCCCAGCCUAGAGUUCGAGAGAGGUGAGUGGAAUUCCGAGUGUAGAGGUGAAAUUCGUAGAUAUUCGGAGGAACACCAGUGGCGAAGGCGGCUCACUGGCUCGACACUGACGCUGAGGUGCGAAAGCGUGGGGAGCAAACAGG
RNAcentral lists this ribosomal RNA (404 nucleotides) under uncultured bacterium. RNAcentral describes it as "bacterial SSU rRNA". It matches the Rfam family "Bacterial small subunit ribosomal RNA", at positions 355 to 776 of the family's 1533-position model. The record is from RNAcentral.